This 1236-nucleotide ribosomal RNA is filed under the name Drawida ghilarovi. Its description in RNAcentral is "16S ribosomal RNA". The stretch from base 762 to 1131 matches the Rfam family "Bacterial large subunit ribosomal RNA", at positions 2049 to 2651 of the family's 2925-position model. Lineage: Eukaryota; Metazoa; Annelida; Clitellata; Moniligastrida; Moniligastridae. The record is from RNAcentral.
AUCUUAAUUUUAUCUUAUAAAUUUUUAUAAUAAAAAACUUUUUUAUUCUAUUUUAACUAUUAUAAAUAAUUAGUACAGUAAUGGAAAUAAAUAUUUUUAAAAGUAAAGACAAAAUCUUGUACCUUGUGCAUAAUGGUUUUACAAUAUUAUAAUUUAUAUUAUAACCCGAAUUCAAAACGAGCUACAUUUAUAUUGUUAAGAACUAAUUACUAGUUGUUGCAUAAACCUUAAAAAAUAUUAAUGUAGGGGCUACAUACCAACCGCGUUAGAAAAUUUCUGGUUUUCAAAUAAAAUUUUAAAUAAGCAUAUAAAGAAUAUUUAUAUUGUAAAUUAAUAGAGGAUAAGCCCUAUUAAUAUGUGUUAUAUUAUAUAUUAUUCAACUAUAUAAGCUUAAAACCAGCUAUUUAUACUACUUUAUCGUAGCUAUUAAUAUAUAAAUAAUUUAUUGAUACACGAAUAUAUUUGAAAUAAAGAAUAAACGAAUAAAUUCUUUAUUAUUAUGUAAAAAUAAGUAUUAAUAAAAUUUAUAGUAAACUAUAAUAAUAAUAAAGGAACUCGGCAAAUAAUAAUUUUGACUGUUUACCAAAAACAUUGUUUCCUGUUAUAAGAAUAGGAAAUACCUCCUGCCCAGUGAAAUUUUCAACGGCCGCGGUAUCCUAACCGUGCAAAGGUAGCAUAAUCACUUGCCCAUUAAUUGUGGGCUAGAAUGAAAGGAUAAACAAAAUAUAUACUGUCUCUAUUAUUAACAUAAAAAUUAAUUUCUAAAUGAAGAAGUUUAGAUAAAAUUGACGGACAAGAAGACCCUAUAGAGCUUUAUUUAUAUUAGAAAAUAAAAUUUCUACAUAUAAUUUGGUUGGGGCGACCAAGGAAUUAAUUAAUCAUCCUUAUAAUAAAGACUUAUUAGUCCCUGUGAUGAUCCUAUAUCAUAGAUCUAAAGAUCAAGCUACCUUAGGGAUAACAGGCUAAUCUCAUUUAAGAGUUCUUAUCUAAAAUGGGGGUUGGCACCUCGAUGUUGGCUUAGGAAAUCUUAAUAACGCAAAAGUUAUAAAAGAGGGUUUGUUCAACCUUUAAUAUCCUACAUGAGCUGAGUUCAGACCGGCGUAAGCCAGGUUAGAUUCUAUCCUCAAUUAUUUAUAUCCGUUUACAGUACGAAAGGACCUAAAUACGAAUAAUUAUUUAUUAUAAAACCUGAAUAAAUAUAAUAUUUUAUUUAUUUAUUUUAAAUAUAAACUAUAU